AACCCAUGGUGAGGGCACUGGUGGGUAUAGCUUCUAAAUAUCUCUCAGGCUUCACCAAAUGUCUCAUUGUUGUGUUGUGUGAAGGAAGAUAUCAAAUUUCUGAGCUU
Molecule: small nucleolar RNA, 107 nt
Organism: Eutrema salsugineum
Lineage: Eukaryota; Viridiplantae; Streptophyta; Magnoliopsida; Brassicales; Brassicaceae
Rfam family: Plant small nucleolar RNA R71
About the family: R71 is a member of the C/D box family of snoRNAs containing the C (UGAUGA) and D (CUGA) box motifs. Multiple nearly identical copies of this snoRNA have been identified in Arabidopsis, and it is thought to function as a 2'-O-ribose methylation guide for 18S ribosomal RNA.
Source: Rfam